RNAcentral lists this long non-coding RNA (717 nucleotides) under Coffea arabica (coffee). Its description in RNAcentral is "long non-coding RNA (CARA_LNC004080)". The record is from RNAcentral. Lineage: Eukaryota; Viridiplantae; Streptophyta; Magnoliopsida; Gentianales; Rubiaceae.
GGGGGUCGGUGAUCUUGUUUUUGGAGUCUCAUUUUUUGAAACUGAGAAGGCUCGCUCCAUUAUUUUUGGGCAGUUCACUUUAAUUAAGUUUGUUGAAUUAUAACUGGUGAUUGUCUUAUCAAACUAAUUGGGUGAAUUUCCCACACCAAGACUUUUCAUAAGUCUUGUGACCUUACUUCGUAUCAAUUGAUGACUUCACCCGGUUUAGGGUUAUGCUUCCUAGGUCUUCUUUUUCGUUUUUCUACAUAGUAUUAGACUUGGUUUCUCAAUUUAAAAAAAAUAAUAAAAGAAAAAUUUGCUGGUUGGUUGAUGUGGAAUGGACAGCUACUUAAGGGCUCGAGCCAGGACUUUUGAGCCUGUGGAAUUGUGAUGUGAUAAUCAAGCAGCUAUAUUGCAUUACUUUGUGUUCCAUAAGUGUAUUAGACAUUUUGAAGUAGAUAUUCAUUUUGUAAGGGAAAAACUUCAAGUUUUAUUAUUUCUCCUGGUCAUGUUAAAACCGCAGAACACCUAGCUGAUCUCCAAUUACUAUCAGAUGAAGUCUGGAAAGUUUGGCUUAUACUAUCUUUGCAUGGUUUUUACAAUGUUAGAGGGCAAGGAAUAUAGAAAUGUUGUCUAAGUUAAGGUAGUAGUAUUGCUGUUCUCUGUAAUGAACUCCUUUUGGCUUUUGGUGUUCCACAUUAUGGCUCUAACUUUUGGCCCUUGUGAGUUUGGGAUCUC